ACAUAUCAUUGCAGGUUUUCUGACAAUGCAUCCUAGGGUAUCCUAGACCUUGAGUAACAGAAUUGUUUAUAUCAAGAAGGCUGAGAAAACACCAGAAUCUGCAUGUGAUGUGUACCCAAGCAGACUUUGAGAGUCAUCUCAUUUCACCUUUUAAUUUGGAAGAUAAUUUGGCCAGAGGAGAGUGGAUCGUAGUCACUUAAUCAGAAC
RNAcentral lists this long non-coding RNA (207 nucleotides) under Fukomys damarensis (Damara mole-rat). RNAcentral's name for it is "lncRNA (ENSFDAG00000027241.1)". Lineage: Eukaryota; Metazoa; Chordata; Mammalia; Rodentia; Bathyergidae. The record is from RNAcentral.